This is a non-coding RNA of Canis lupus familiaris (dog), 77 nucleotides long. Lineage: Eukaryota; Metazoa; Chordata; Mammalia; Carnivora; Canidae. The record is from Rfam.
AGGAGAGUCCUCGGUGUCCUGUGCCCUCCCGGCCUCCACCUGUCCCGGGGCGAGCGCAGGAUCCUGGGCUGUGUCCC